This 300-nucleotide ribosomal RNA is filed under the name uncultured Helicobacter sp. Its description in RNAcentral is "bacterial SSU rRNA". It matches the Rfam family "Bacterial small subunit ribosomal RNA", at positions 496 to 795 of the family's 1533-position model. The record is from RNAcentral. Lineage: Bacteria; Pseudomonadati; Campylobacterota; Epsilonproteobacteria; Campylobacterales; Helicobacteraceae.
GGGAAGUCCGUGUCGGAGGGCGGGGUAAUAUGGAGGAUGGAAGCGGUAUCCGGUUUCAUUGGGGUUAAAGGGUGCGUAGGCGGAAUACUAAGUCAGUAGUGAAAUCCUGCAGCUUAACUGUAGAACUGUUAUUGAUACUGGUAUUCUUGAAUGCAGUUGAGGUAGGCGGAAUGUGUAAUGUAGCGGUGAAAUGCUUAGAUAUUACACAGAACACCGAUUGCGAAGGCAGCUUACUAAACUGUGAUUGACGCUGAGGCACGAAAGCGUGGGGAGCAAACAGGAUUAGAUACCCUUGUAGUC